GACGUAGGGCGCGAGCGUUGUCCGGAUUUAUUGGGCGUAAAGCGCGCGCAGGCGGUCUCUUAAGUCUGAUGUGAAAGCCCACGGCUCAACCGUGGAGGGUCAUUGGAAACUGGGAGACUUGAGUGCAGGAGAGAAAAGUGGAAUUCCACGUGUAGCGGUGAAAUGCGUAGAGAUGUGGAGGAACACCAGUGGCGAAGGCGGCUUUUUGGCCUGUAACUGACGCUGAGGCGCGAAAGCGUGGGGAGCAAACAGG
This 253-nucleotide ribosomal RNA is filed under the name uncultured bacterium. RNAcentral describes it as "partial 16S ribosomal RNA". It matches the Rfam family "Bacterial small subunit ribosomal RNA", at positions 524 to 776 of the family's 1533-position model. The record is from RNAcentral.